This is a long non-coding RNA of Nilaparvata lugens (brown planthopper), 6714 nucleotides long. RefSeq lists it as uncharacterized. The transcript is spliced from 4 exons. The record is from RefSeq and is a predicted model, not a curated record. NCBI's taxonomy places the organism in Eukaryota, Metazoa, Arthropoda, Insecta, Hemiptera, Delphacidae.
AGGGAAAAUAGUGAGAGAGAAAGAGAGAGAGUGUUAGUGAGAGCGGGCGAGGGAGAGAGAGUGUGUAUGCACCCUUCAUCCCCUAUUUGGGGGAUGAAGAGAGGGAAAGCGUCAGUACGCAGCAUCCGUGGAGGCUAUUCGGUUCCGUCGCUUGGAAGGGUGGCGUUGGCUGUAUCUUGCGUUGGUCCACCCAGCAGCAUUUACAUACCCUCGCUCUGCUCUGCUGCACAACCUGUUAAUACUCUCCACAUCUCUUCAACCAAACAUCUCCAAUCAACUUAACUCACACCGAAUCUCCUCCAGAUCCACGAAUUCUUCCCAAAUCAAGAUGAUGGGAUGCCAGGUUACAAAGCAGACUUUCAUCAACUGUCAGUGGUCAAUCUCCCACAUUCGUUUGCUGAGGGUGGUAGCGGAACAAGCUGGAAACUGGAUGAAUCUGAUAAACCUAAUGUUCUGUGUAAGUUGAUCUUUCACACUCGGAUUGCAGAUUGCCAAGAAGGAUCAGAGUUGAUGAAGAACAUGUGGAGUCAAAAGUAGGAAUGAUAUUCAUAGACCAAAGGUGGAAUUUAAUAAUCUCAAUCAUAUAAAAAGGUUGGGCUUUGAUGGUGUAAUGGUAAGUAAUUACUACAGCGAGGGGUAUAGGUGAGUCUGAUUUCCAACCAUAUAACUAGAAGUUUUAUAUUUUUUCAAGCCGGUCAUCAACUUGAUUUCAAGCUAGUCAUAGAGGAGGCUUAUCAAGAAACAUCCUGAAUUUCGGUCCCAUAUUCAAGUCAUUUGGAUAGCUUGAGUCAUUCUCAUUGGAAGAAAUCAAGUGCUGACAAUAACUUCUCUAAGACUUAUCUCACCAGUUAUCUCAAGUCUUGAAUUUAUUAGAACUGUAUCAUAUCCAUGUUGAGGUGGGCCUACUCCAAAAUUACUAGAUUUGCUUAGUAAUUUUGAGUACUCUAGUAUCUUUGGUAUCUAAAAUUAAUUGAAUGAAUGAGACGUUGAUGUUGUCAAUACCACUAUAUUUGUUCGAAAUCAACUAGAUUAUAUUAGGCCCACAUAGAUUAUAUCAUAUUAAAUUAUUUCUGAACAAAUAUAGUGAUAAUGACAACAUCAACGUCUCAUUCUUUCAGUUAUGGAGAAGAACCACAACAUCUCUCGCUAUACAAUUGACUACGGUAAUAAAUUCUUUGGUAACUGUCACUGUACAUGCCAACAUGACUAUUCAAAAGUAGGUUUCUUGUACCUACUAUUCAUUUAGUUCUUCUACCGUAAUUCCAGCAGUGAUAUUCCAACGAACUUACUCGUUGUAUAGCCAUUAUUGCUUAUGGCUAUAAGUCAAAUAUAGACUACUAAACAAUUUACUGAACAAACACCUGCUGUGAUAUUCCAACGAACUUACUCGUUGUAUAGUCAUUACUGCUUUUAGGAUGACUAGUUUCUAAUUGUGCAUUAUGAGUUCUAAAUCUUCAAUCUUAUGUGUGAAAUCACUUCAAUCUCAAAAAAUGUUGAAAGAGACUUACUAUAAUUUAAAAAUGGAAUCUGUAUUCAUAAAAUAUGUGAUCGAAGAAGCCUGAUUUGAUAUUAUCAGGUACUCAAUUCUCUAGAUUUAUUUCACUCAUCAUCUCUAUAAUUUUUUUUAUAAUUAUUCAUAGAGCAAAUCCUCCAAAUAUUCCUGCAAUGACUCCGCGCGUAUUCAUGGAAUAAAUUUUCCUUUUCCAGGAAAACUCAACCCUGACACUGAUUUGCAGCUGAGAAGAUAUUCUUGAACCAAGGAUUAAUUAACAUAAGUUUGCAGCCCGUACGGUGAUCUGGAAAUCGUGAUGUGAUCUGGCAGUUUAAUAAAUCAUCCAGUCUGCGUAUACAAUCAGAGAUAUUGAAUAAGUCAAACACAAGUCAGGCACAUUCGUGAUCUACCCUGUAGAUCCGGGCUUAUGUAGAUAAUUGUCAGAAGCUCGUCUCUACAGGUAUCUUACGGAUGGAAGACAACGCAGCCACUGCAAGAGUGUUUGACUUAUUUCCCAAGUGAACGCGACCACAGAUCUCAAACAACAUCGUCAUUUUUCGAUUCUACUCUCAACGUUCAACAACCGCUGGUUUGAGUAAGAAUUUAAAUUAGCAAUAAGGGUUUAAUUAGUCUUGUAAUUUAUGAGGGUAUGAAUUAAUAAUUGUCUCAUCAAAGGGUUAUAAAUUAGUCAAAUAAUUUAUAAGGGUAUGAGUCAAUGCUGGUAUGAGCAAAGGUGAACGCACAAAGCGACAGACGGACGUAUACAGACAGACGGAAGCAAAGUCCCUUCCCAGGUGAUCGAAUGUUGCAAUCCACACAGACGUCCGUUUGUAACAAUAUGUCUGCUCACGUCUGCAAGGAGAAGUUUAUUUUUUUAUAUUCUCAUCUCAUUCUCUUAUUUUCCUCACACGUUUUUCUGUUGCUGUGUGCGUUCGCCUAGAGGGUACAAAUAAAUACUUAUUGUAAAAUUUAUUCACAAUUAAUCAUAACUAUUUUGGAGAGUUGAGAAUGAAACUCAAUAGAUUAGAACACAAUAAAAAUUAUACUCAGUUUUUGUCAAACUAGUCACCCAAGUGAACCUACGAUUUUACGCAAUGCCUACGGCCAUUUCUCAAGCUAAAACAAAAAAGAUUGUCUAUAGUAAAUUAAUUGUUUAUGAUUGGAAGUGCACAUGUCCAUUUUUUCACAAAUCACAAUUUAUUUCUUUAUAAGUUGACGAUUUAAAAAUUUAACUCCAUAACGUGUUUUCUAAUAUCUGUAUUCAUCAAUAAAUACUUAUAUAAGUGAUGGAAUUUGAACAAUGUGAAUAAAAACUAUUUUUGCAUUGGUGAAAAAUUUAUAUUCAUAGACAUGUGCACUUCCAAUCCUAAACAAUUCAAAUAUAUCUAUGUAUUUUCUUGUAAUUUAUCAUUUGGUUAGAAUUAUAAGCAUGAUAAGCAGGAGACAUCUCGUGAAUUAAACGAUAGUUACCAUUUUUGAAUGGUUCAAUUCUAUAAGAAUUCCUCUAUAAGAGUUCAACCCUUAUAAAAUUAAUGAAAAGUCGGUAACUAGGGUGGUUACAAAGGUUCUUUACGAAACAUGCAGUGGAAUACAUUUUCAAAGUUGAGAGAAAAUCAAAUUGAUCAUUGAAGAAAUAAAAUAACGAUUAUUAAUUCCAUUUGCAGAUAAAAGGGGUGGAAUCAGAUUCAAAUUUUACAAAUCUUAACUCUAGGCUCAAAAUUAAUUCUGGUUUUUCACACAAAAUAUGCGAAUUCAUUCAGUUAUAACCCCACCAAUCCAAAUCCAUGGAACAUUUUUUUCACCUCCACAAUAAAAUUCUUCAACAUCACCAGUAGGCCUAAUUGGAUAUACCUCAUCAAUGAAAUAUUCAAAUUCACUUGAAUGUAAAAUCAAAUAAAUCAACUUGAAAAAUACUAUCUCCAAGCAUGUCCUAUGACAUUUAAAAUAUCCCAAUUCAAGCAUAAUUAUUAUCAAUUAAUUACUGUAUUGAUUUCAUUCAUUCACUGGAUCAAUUGGGAGAAUAAUUUAUCCAGCGUCUAUUUUGAGUGACACUGUUGAUCGAUUCAAGAAAAACUAAUAGGUGACUAAUAGAUUCUAUUGAAGAAUUGAAGGGAAAUAGCAAUUAGAGAACAUAAUUUUAUUAGUUAAUUACUUUCUGAAGAACCUAGUUGUAAUAUAGUGAGAAUGACUUGCAAGUCGGUGCUAGGAACUUUGGGACCAACACUUUUUGGGACUAAAAGGUACAGACAUAAGAGAGGAUGGGUCUUCACAAGCAGAAUCAGGAAUCAGUAGUCUCCAACAGGUGGUUGGACAUUGCUCUUUAACACAAAGGCGUUGGACACAUAUUUAUUCAGAUUUUAAAGUAGAAUCAUUAUUUCCGCUGCUUAAUCAGGAAAAUAUAAAUUUCUAGUUAUAGUCAAUAAACUUGAAUCUAACAUGUUGGAAGAGAGGCCUUCUGAAGAUUUCUGUAAUAAAAAUGGAUUGUUUAUCAACUCAGUACACUAGUAUACAGAACUAUUUCUAAAAAUUGAUGUAUGAAUAGUUUUCAUUCAGUAACAGAAUUGGUGAAAGAUCCGAUCAUUGUUUGCUACUCACCUCGCAGACUUGAUCUCAAAAAUCCUCUUUUUCCUAGCUGGUCUCAAAGUUCCGGUUCAAAAGCAUUGGAAAUCAUAGGAAGGGGUUAAGUUCCCUUUUUUCCACUGCCCUCUGCAGUAUAUAGCUGUAAUUCAAGUCAUCCCGGUUUAUCUGAUCUAAUUUCAAUUGUUGAUUAUUGCUGAUAAUAAUCAUAUCUAUCUCAUAUAUAUUGUAUUCAUCAAGAUAAUAAUAUCUUUCCAUGAUUUAAUAAUAGAUUAUUUCAAUUGAGAUAUCAUCUUUCGUCACUUUAUUAUAUUUCUACGAACCCUACAAAACAUUCCGGCAAUUUGGCAACGGUGCGUUGUUCGAAAAGGAAAGAGCUAUGGCAGCUAUCUGCUCUGUCUAAUGACAGACAAGGAUAGCAAUGUCAAUCAGAUGCUGACCAUAAAACGUGAAUCCCACUAUAGGAUCAUCACUAGUUCUAGGGAAACCUGAUAAAUUCUUCUCAGACUCAAUCCACAAAAAUUGGUCAAAUUUGUCAACUGUAGCUCUAGCAAUAAUAUUUGUCAACACUAAUGAGUUUGAAACAGGGUCAUGUGAAUUUAAAAAUGUCAUGUUGUAUCAGAUAAGUAAUGUACUUUUACUUGUCUUAGCUUAUAUUUCUACAUUUUCAUUAUAACUUACUAAUCUGGAUUACCAUUAGAUGGAAAAUUUGUAACAUUUGUAACAUGUGAUCAUGGUUCUAACCAUGUAUUUGAGAGGCUUUGAGCAAUGUUGCUCACUACUAAAACUAUCAUUCUGAUAUUUCAAGUUAAUGCAGUUGAUACUCAUUUUGUUAUGAAUUAUUAAGUGUGUUAGUCAUCCACAAGGUCUAUAGAAACCUAUUUAUAGACCUUGGUCAUCCAGAGUAUGUAUGCUGCUACCUAUUGGAGGAGUUUCAAGAUUCAAGAUCCAAGAUUCUUUAAUGCUAGACCAACUUUAGAUUGUAUAAGCACAUCAAAUUAAUAAGCAAUAAUAUCUAACACUUGUGAAAUAAAAGAGAAUUGAAUAAGCAUAUAAUAAUAGAAAUCAUAUUAUAUAUGAAAAUAUUAAAACCAUCACAAAAAUUCAUUACAAUCUGUCAGCCAAUCAGGAGAGAGUAGGCGGAGUUGGGAACAUUACCCAGCAUCUGCUGCUGUCUACUGUCUGAAUUCCGAGUUAGAUUACAAAUUGUUGACCAAUCAGGAAAGAGUCGAGUUGAAACUAAUUCAAUUUGUAAUAAAUUUUAUCACUUUUGAAAUCUCGAUUGAUGAGUGAAAACAUCAAAACUGUUGAAAACGUAUGUGGUGUUAAGGUGCGUAGAGUCUUAGGGCGAGUUCAUGAAAAGAACAUGCGUUGCUCAAGACUUUUUAAGCUGCGUUUACACCAAAGUUAUCAACACCUUAUUAAUUUUUCCGUCCUUAUAGAUUCUAUUAGAUUAACAUAAAUUAUCAUGAAAUAAAUACACAUGAUAAACAUAGGUCUAUGUGUUUUUCAAGUUCCGUUCAAUCUAAUAGAAUCUAUAAGGACGGAAAAAUAAACAUUUUGUUAAUAACUUUGGUGUAAACGCAGCUUUACAGUUUUGGCGUGUUCAUGCCAAGAGCAUGCGUAUUCCACUUUCCAUCAGUUGAUACUAUUCUUAUCAUAUCUGUAUUUGAACAGAAACAGUGAGAUACAGAUAUAAUAAGCAUCAGUCGAUGGAUAGUGAAACACGCGUGUUCGUAGCGCAUAAGUCUAUAUGCACCUUUUGAAAAACAGCACACUAUCCUGAUAAAAUUAUUGUUAUCAAUAUUUUUUGUAAGGCUGUUCGUAGAAAAUUCUACAUUAUUUAUAAUACACUGUAUCUGAAUGUACACGUAUUGAUACACUUAUAUUAUCAACACACAUUGUUCUGUAUAGUGCUGACCGUUUGUAUCCAAUGAAGCUCCAGUCUAUCCUAAAUUCUAUUCAUGUUCAAUAAUUAUUAUCCAUUGUAAUAAUAUUAUCAUGACCAGGAAAACGUUAGGCUAUAAGUGAAGAAUUUUCUUCAUAACAGUUGAUUGAAUAAAAUGGUCGUUCCAGAUUUUGAAUGAUAAAAAUAGGUACAUCAUUAAACAAAAAUGAAAAUGAUACUGAAGCUGAGAGAUCUGACUGAGUAACAGUUCCAUUGAUUUAAAAUUAUAUUAAUUUGAUGUAUCAAGUUAAAAUCGUCUAAAGCUAGACGCUGAUUGUUACUGUUCAUUUGUGUUGUUGAUUGAAAAGCAUGUUUUCUAUAAGCCUCGUAUGUAACUAAUAUUAUUGAAUGAAAAAGACUAAGAAAUUGUCAAAAAUUCAAAUGUCAUAUUUCAUUCAAUAUGAAUAAUUAUCACAAUAUCAACUUCUCAACUACACAAAAAGUAACUCAUAUUAAGUUCCUGAAAUUGGGAAGCAUUUCAACUCUAGGAUAUUAGUAUUUAAGAAUUUCUGGAUUUGUAAGAGUUCUUUGGGAACAUAAACGUUGAUGUUGUCCAAUAAAAAAAAAUUAUCCAGCUUAUGUGACCUAGAGUAGCAUGUAGCCUAUGUAGCCUACUCCAGCCUAUUUAGGCUAAUAGUAUUUAAAAUUCUCUGGAUUUGUAAGAGUUCUUUGUGAAACAAGUGAACAUAAACGUUGA